RNAcentral lists this ribosomal RNA (253 nucleotides) under uncultured bacterium. RNAcentral's name for it is "partial 16S ribosomal RNA". It matches the Rfam family "Bacterial small subunit ribosomal RNA", at positions 524 to 776 of the family's 1533-position model. The record is from RNAcentral.
UACGUAGGGUGCGAGCGUUAAUCGGAAUUACUGGGCGUAAAGGGUGCGCAGGCGGUUCUGCAAGUCAGGCGUGAAAGCCCCGGGCUUAACCUGGGAAUGGCGCUUGAAACUACAGGACUGGAGUAUGGCAGAGGGAGGUGGAAUUCCACGUGUAGCGGUGAAAUGCGUAGAUAUCGUGAGGAACACCAGAGGCGAAGGCGGCUACCUGGACAAUUGCUGACGCUCAGGCACGAAAGCGUGGGGAGCAAAAGGG